CAUUGUGGCCAUACCAUACCAGCCUGUCAUUGCCCGAUCCCGUUAGAUCUCGGAAGCUAAGCAGGUCUGGGCCUGGUUAGUAGUUGGAUGGGAGACCACUGAGAAUUCCAGGUGCCACAGUGG
Molecule: ribosomal RNA, 123 nt
Organism: Gouania willdenowi (blunt-snouted clingfish)
Lineage: Eukaryota; Metazoa; Chordata; Actinopteri; Blenniiformes; Gobiesocidae
Source: Ensembl